RNAcentral lists this ribosomal RNA (643 nucleotides) under bacterium SL5.39. RNAcentral describes it as "bacterial SSU rRNA". It matches the Rfam family "Bacterial small subunit ribosomal RNA", at positions 57 to 699 of the family's 1533-position model. The record is from RNAcentral.
GCAGUCGAACGGACCUUGAUUCUUCGGGAUCUUGGUUAGUGGCGCACGGGUGCGUAACGCGUAUGCAACCUACCUUCCACUGGGGGAUAGCCCGUCGAAAGACGGAUUAAUACCGCAUAUGACCACAGGAGGGCAUCCGAUUGUGGUAAAAGCUGAGGCGGUGGAAGAUGGGCAUGCGUGCCAUUAGCUAGUUGGCGGGGUAAAGGCCCACCAAGGCGACGAUGGCUAGGGGUUCUGAGAGGAUGGUCCCCCACACUGGUACUGAGACACGGACCAGACUCCUACGGGAGGCAGCAGUAGGGAAUAUUGGGCAAUGGCCGAGAGGCUGACCCAGCCAUGCCGCGUGCAGGAAGAAGGCCUUCUGGGUUGUAAACUGCUUUUAUCGGGGAAGAAAACGCUCUUGCGAGAGUAACUGACGGUACCCGAUGAAUAAGCACCGGCUAACUCCGUGCCAGCAGCCGCGGUAAUACGGAGGGUGCAAGCGUUGUCCGGAUUUAUUGGGUUUAAAGGGUGCGUAGGCGGCCCGUUAAGUCAGCGGUGAAAUCCCAGGGCUCAACCCUGGAACUGCCGUUGAUACUGGCGGGCUUGAGUUCGGUCGAGGCGGGCGGAACUGGUGGUGUAGCGGUGAAAUGCAUAGAUACCA